AGCUGAGGUGGUUGCUGGGAGAGGUGGUUGCUGGGAGAGCUGUUCCGGCGCUCACGUUCCAAUUCCAAAUUACAAAUUCCGAUCUAGAGCUCCCACGCUUGGGGGCUGUGGAGCGCUCGCCAGCCGCUCCCCGUUUGCUGCUGGGUCUUACGAAGUUCUCAUAUCCAUCAUACAGUUUCUUUGUCACACUGUCCGCGGCACGCCAGUCCCUAUGACAGAAAGCACCUGCGGUCUGUCUGGAGGCGGAGUUGGUGGCGGAGAGAAAAAGUUCUGGAGACACCUGGUUGGGAGCAGGCUAAGGAAACAAAUGGGGAGGAAUUAGCCACAAAUCCUCAAAUAGACAGCUACUCAAAGGCAUCUUCACGGACAAUUUCCAAGCAUUGGAUGCAGUGGUGCAUUCUUGCAUUGGGCAGUGAUUGUGUGCACACAUCUCUUUAAGGGAGAGUGGAAAUGGGGUGAGGAGGAAAAUGGGAGUAGGAUAGAGUGUAGCGUUGACAUUUAUUUUCUUUAAAGGAAGACCCGAGCAUACCUGAGAGCUCAGUGAAGAAAGUAGUUCUGGCGAAUCGGAUUAAUAUGGUAUGAUCAGCCUUUAGCAAGAUUCUAUCACUUUUCCCACUGAUGAUGUGAGACGGUGUCCGCGUGUGUAAGUGCACACACGUGUGUGUGUGUGUGUGUUGCAUCUUCUGAGUAUUUUUCAAGGAGAAGCUUUUUAGUGAUCUGAAAAAGUCAAUUCAGUUAGCCACUAGAGUUCAAUCAAAAACUUCGGAAGAGUGCAUCAUCUUAAAGUACAUAAGAGAGAAUCAUGACCUCCAGCUCAGAAUUCAAGAAUAGGCAGGUUUGUGAAAUAGUAAGCUCAGAAAGUUGAGGGCCAGUGAACUCCUAUUUCAAGUUCUUGCGGGUGUUUGUACUUUUUUCCCAGCACCACUGAAACUUGACCUUCGGCCGGCGCGGUGGCUCACGCCUGUAAUCCCAGCACUUUGGGAGGCCGAGAUGGGCGGAUCACGAGGUCAGAAGAUCGAGACCAUCCUGGCUAACACGGUGAAACCCCGUCUCUACUAAAAAUACAAAAAAAUUAGCCGAGCGUGGUGGCGGGCUCCUGUAGUCCCAGCUACUUGGGAGGCUGAGGCAGGAGAAUGGCGUGAACCCGGGAGGCGGAGCUUGCGGUAAGCCGAGAUCGCGCCACUGCACUCCAGCCUGGGCGACUGAGCACGACUCCGUCUCAAAAAAAAAAAAAAAAAAACAAAAAAAAAACUUGACCUUCAUUAUAUCUCACUGCCCUCAUCCCAAACAUUUCCUCUCCCAGUUUUCCAGGAAACGGCAUCGCUGCCCAUCUCUUUUCAGGCCCCAACCCUGGAGAAGAACCUAAAUUUCUCAUUUCCUCACUACCUACCUCCAGUCCUUCAGCAGGUCCCGUUGGUUGGGCUGCUAAACUAUGGGCUAAAUCCUUUCAGUACUUUCCAUGCCCACAGCUACCACUCUGGUCCAAGCCAAAUUCUUAGUUCCCCUGGACUUCUUACUGCAGUAGCCUCUCAGCUUCCACUCUUGGCAAAAUCAAUUUUAUAAAACCUUGAAAUCCCUUAAUACCACUCGUCUGCUUAAACCUCGGCAUCCCACAUUUACCACUAUCAGGAAGGAUCACGUUUGUUUGUUUGCUGUCUCAUUCCCCCAUUUAUAUGUGAAUUCCACGGGUAAGGGCCUGCUCCUACAUCCCACACCUCUACAUCCACAGAGCCUAGAGACCGCAGGCGCGGGGAAAGCACUCCACGACCAUCACUGGCCAGGCCACAAGAGUGCUGGAUCUAAAUUUGGAACCGGACUUUCAGAGCUGAAAUAAACCUGAGGUUUUCCAGGGGCUUUUAACCUCCUUUUACAGCCAAGGAUGCGCCUAAGAAAGGGGAGAGGCUUCCGUGACUUCCUGCAGUAACGCAGCCACUAGAGAUUGAGACUACAACGACUUGGGAGUCUAAAAGUCUGCAACCUUUUCCACUCCAGAGCUCAAUGUUUCCUCAAUCCCCCGGGAUCGGCAUCAGCAAAAACCCGGAGAAGCGGAGCCUUUCUCAAAGAAAAUGACCUCCAGACUCAUGCUACCAUCUCGACCGGUGCAAGUAUCACGCAUGCGCAGGGCCGGCCGCCCGGCCGCACCUCGCCAACUCCUACUCGGACACGUCAUCUAGGUCGGCCUGGGUCUGGUGGGAGGGGCCGGGGGCGGGGCUCGUACGCGGGGCGAAGUGGUCCCCCUACUUCCGGAUCCGGCCUCACCUGGCCAACGCCUCAUUCGGGGUUCCUUGGUUACGUGGCUGCGGUGUCUACCCGGUGCUGGGGCGUGGCGGAGAGAGACCGCCCCGCCCUCCACGCAGGCCACAAAAUGGAGGCCCUGCCCUGUGGGCUUUUGUGGCCUGGGCGCUGUCGUGCCGAAAGACGAAAGUGACAAUUCCAGUUGCAAACUGGAAAGAAAUGGAGUUUUUCCUUCAUUCUCCCCAUGAUCGUGACGGUCCUUUUCUCAAAGUACUAAUACUUUUAAUGGGACUGUAAAACUUGAGGGAUAUGACUCUCUCCUCUCCUCUGCUUCAGAUUGCAUUUGCCAACUCUGAUUUACCGCCAAUACUAUGGUGCUGUCAUAUUCAUAGAGACAGAAAGUAGAGCAGUGGUUGUAGAGAGAGUCUGCAGAAGGAGGGAUGGGGAUUUACUGUUUAAUGGCAUACGGUUUCAGUAUGGGUUGGUGAAAAAGUUGGGAUGAAUGGUGAUGACUGCACAACAAUGCAAAUAUGCUAAUGUCACAGAAGUGUACACUUAAAAAUGGUUAGACGGUAAGUUUUCUAUUAUGUAUAUUUUACCACAAUUUUUUUUUAAAUGCAACAGAGUCUCGCUGUUGCCUAGGCUGGAGUGCAGUGGCAGGAUCUCAGCUCACUGCAACCUCCGCCUUCCAGGUUCAAGCGAUUCUUGUGCCUCAGCCUCCCAAGUAACUGGGAUUACAGGUGCCAGCCACCACGCCCAGCUAAUUUUUGUAUGUUUAGUAGAGAUGGGGUUUCACCAUGUUGGCCAGGCUAGGCUGUUCUCGAACUCCUGAACUCAGGUGAUCCGCCUGCCUUGGUCUCCCCCAGUGCCGAGAUUACACGCGUGAGCCACCACGCCGGGCCCCACAGUUUUUUGUUUUUGUCUUUUAAAUUUUUUUUAACAGCAUUUGUGUCUUUUUUUCUUUUUCUUUUGUUUUUGAAACAGAAUCUCACUCUGUCACCAAGCUGGAGUGCAGUGGCGCCAUCUUGGCUCACUGCAACCUCUGACUCCCUGGUUCAAGCAAUUCUCCUGCCUCAGCCUCUCCAGUAGCUGGGGUUACAGGCACGCACCACCCCGCCCAGCUAAUUUUUGUAUUUUUAGUAGAGAUGGGGUUUCACCAUAUUGGCCAGGGUGGUCUCCAUCUCCUGACCCCGUGAUCCACCUUGCCUUCCCAAAGUGCUGGGAUUACAGGUGUGAGCCACUGCACCCAACCUAAAUGGCAUUUGUUUCUUCCACUCCUCUCUGCCAGAAUAAUUUGGACAGCCUUUUCUGAGUUUCCCAUGACGACUUCUGUAUAAGAUUGUCGGAUAUAGCAAAUAAAAGUACAGUAUACCCAGGUAAAUUUUAAUUUCAGAUGAUCAAUGAAUAAUUUUUUAGUAUAAGUACAUUCCAACUAUUACAUGGGACAUAAGGGUAUUUUAUCUGAUCACCCUACUUUUGUGUCAAGUUAAAAUUAUUAGCAAAAGUGCUUCCGUUUUUAGGAAGUGCACACUGUACUCUAGUAGUUAGGCAGGAGAACAGGGUCUGCGAGCAGGGAACCUAAGGCCGUUUCACACUGACUUCCUAGAGCCAUUUGGAAAGGAAAACCCUAACUUUCCACUCCUAAGUAACAAAAGGCCCAGAGGCCACUCCCUUUGCAAACCCCCACCUUUUCUGUGCCGCAGCUGGAAAAUUGAAAGUGCCUCUGAUUGGUUGCUUUCUGCAACUAAUCAGAUGUUUGCAUAGAGUGUAACUUUGUAACUUCACUUCAGCCUCUGAUUGGUUGCUGUCCCCAACCAAUCAGACUGAUUGUGGGCCAAGGCUUCGUUUGAAUAGAAGUGCAACUUUGUAACUUCACUUUAGCCUCUGAUUGCAGGCCACCACUUCAUUUACAUGGGGUGAGCACCAAUGCGUUUUGUUCAAUUCUUUGUUCAAAACCCCAAGAAUCUGGACAACUUGCACUCAAGACCCUCUACGGGUUUGGCGAGCCAGUCUUUCAGUGGCUGUUUUCUAGUAGCUCCUUGGCAAUUGAGGGGAACUGGCUGGGACCACUCUCCAGUGCUGUCUGAAGGCCAAGGAGUGAACAGGGAUGGCUGCCCUGCCUUGAAGAGGGAAGGACUCUUUUCUAUCCUUUCCAGCUAUAGUCCCUGAUCCCUACAUGUGAUGCGGUUGGCAGCGGAAGCUCAUCCUGGGCGAACUCACACACUUUUCAGGAGACUUAAACCUUUUCUUAUGCUAAGUUCUUCCCUUCCCCUACUCAUCUGGCUAAAGGACAGACUAUGCAAAAAAGGUUAUACAAGUCAGAGGGUCUGAGCAUGUCGGAGGUGGUCUGUGUGGGGCAUGGGGUGGGGGGAAAAUUCAUGAAAGGCAAUUUAUUGCCUAAAUUUAAAGGGUUAAAGGGUUGCUUUAAGUGGGAUAGAAAAACCUUAAGGAAAGUUCAUAGUAGGUCCUCAGUGGUGGAGUGUUGUGGGAAGUCAGGGACCCUGAAUGAAGGGACUGGCUGAAGCCAUGGCAGAAGAACAUAAACUGUGAAGAUUUCAUGGACAUUUAUUAGUUCCCCAAAUUAACACUUUUAUAAUUUCUUACGCCUGUCUUUACUGCAAUCUCUGAACAUAAAUUGUGAAGAUUUUAUGGACAUUUAUCACUUCCCCAAUCAAUACUCUUGUGAUUUCCUAUGCCUGUCUUUACUUUAAUCUCUUAAUCCCGUCAUCUUCGUAAGCUGAGGAGGAUGUAAGUCGCCUCAGGACCCUGUGAUGAUUGUGUUAACUGCACAAAUUGUUUGUAGAGCAUGUGUGUUUGAACAGUAUCAAAUCUGGGCACCUUAAGAACAGGAUAACAGCAACGUUCAAGGAACAAGGGAGAUAAUCUUAACGUCUGGCUGCCUAUGGGCCGGGCAGAACAGAGCCAUAUUUCUCUUCUUUCUAAAGCAAAUAGGAGAAAUAUCGCUGAAUUCUUUUUCUCAGCAAGGAACAGCCCUGAGACAGAGAAUGUGUGCCUAGGGGUAGUCCUCCAAAAUGGCCACUCUGGGGACGGCUGUCUUUUAUGGUCGUAGAUAAGGGAAGAAAUAAGCCCCGGACUCCCAUAGUGCUCCCAGGCUUAUUAGGACGAGGAAAUUCCCACCUAAUAAAUUUUGGUCAGACUGGUUGUCUGCUCUCAAACCCUGUCUCCUGAUAAGAUGUUAUCAAUGACAAUGCGUGCCCGAAACUUCACUCGCAAUUUUAAUUUCGCCCUGGUCAUGUGGUCCCGUGAUCUCACCCUGCCUCCAUUUGCCUUGUGAUAUUUUAUUACCUUGUGAAGCAUGUGAUCUCUGUGACCCACACCCUAUUCAUACACUCCCUCCCCUUUUGGAAAUCACUAAUAAAAACUUGCUGGUUUUACGGCUUAGGGGGCAUCACAGAACCUGCCGACAUAUGAUGUCUCCCCUGGACACCCAGCUUUAAAAUUUCUCUCUUUGUACUCUUUCCCUUUAUUUCUCAGACCAGCCAACACUUAGGGAAAAUAGAAAAGGACCCACGUGAAAUAUCAGGGGCUGAAUUUCCCCCGAUAGUGGAGGGAACCAUCCCAAAGCAGUGCCAGCCCCCAUCUAAGGUCAGAGACAUCUGACAGACUAAAUCAGGGCCCUAAAGUAGGGACGCCCCUGGGGACCCCAGUCUGGGUUCAGAAUUUUUUCAGGGGGAUGCCCUGGGUAAAGUUUGGGUCACCUAAUGGGCCCUCUACUUUUCAAAGUCCUCUUCUCUGUUCCAGACCACUAUGGGCAACUCUCUAUCUAUUCGACCUGAUUCCACUAUGGGCAAUUCUACACCUGUUCCACCGGAUUCCUCACUUGGCUACAUCAUCCACCAUUGGAAUCAAUUUGACCCUGACACUCUAAAGGGAAAAUGUAUAAUUUUUUUCUGUAAUACUGUUUGGCCCCAUUAUGAGCUGCCCAGCCCCCAGCAAUGGGCAGUCAGUGGUAGCCUUAAUUAUGACACCAUCCUGCAAUUAGACCUACUUUGCAAGAGGCUGGGAAGAUGGUCAGAAGUCCCAUAUGUACAGGCUUUUAUCAAAAUAUCAAAAACCUAACAAUCUGUGAAACUCCCAGAACCCACCCCCCAAAGGAAAGUACUAAGGCAGAACUAGAUAUUAUAGAUGACCCUCUUUUACAAGGGCUAGCUGUCUCUCAGGGUGAACAGCAACCAUCCCCAUAAAGCCCCUUGCCAAGUGCUCCUGAGGCUAAAACCCAGGAGCAAACACCAGGGACCCUACUAAAUCCCCCUCACACUUGGAGAGGAAUGCCAUAUUCAAUUCUCUCUCCAGCCCUGCUACCUCUUAGGGAAGUAGCAGGAACCAAGGGGCCAGUCCUAGUGCAGGCCCCCUUCUCUAUAAUUUAUACAUACAAUAUAAGGAAAAGCUAGGAAACUAUUCUGAGAAUCCUAAGAAACUUGCAGAUGGGUUCCAGCGUUUGACCUUAGCCUCUGAUCUAUCAUGGAGAGAUGUUCAAUUCAUUCUAGCAACCUGUUACACACCCUCAGAAAAGGAAUGAAUCUCUGAGGCCGCCCACCUGCAAGCAAUGAAUUAUUUGCCCAAAACUCUCAGGGCAAUCAUCCCGGCCCAGACACAGUUCCCACUAUUGAUCAUAAUUGGGACUAUAACACUCCUGAGGAAAUGAACAACCGGGCUAAAUUUCUUGAGGCUCUCCUUGGAGGAAUGAGAAAGGGAAUAACUAAAGGCAGUAAAUUAUGAUAAAGUAAGGGAGGUUACACAAGGCAAGGAGGAAAAUCCAGCCAUGUUUUAUGGCAGGCUGGAGGGAGACUUUAAAAAAUAUACUAAUCUGGACCCUUCCUCUCCCGAAGGCAAAAUAUUAAUAGCACAGCAUUUCAUUAGCCAAUCUGCCCCAGACAUUAGAGAUAAGCUCCAAAAGCUACAGAUGGGGCCACAAACUAAUCAAAAUCAGCUUACUUAUAUCACAUUUAUGGUGUAUAACAAUCGUGACCUGAAGGAAGGAAAAAGGGAACAGAGUAAACAAAAUGGCAAGCCAAAAGUAUGGCAGCCAUCAUUGACGAUGCCCUGAAUGUACAAAGAGUGUCUAAGGGAAACCCGAAGGGCCAUAAAGAUAAUGCCAGCAAAGGCUCUUGCUUCAAAUGCAAGAAAAGAAGACAUUGGGCAAAGGAUUGUGCUAAGUCCCCGCCAGGCCCCUGCCGUCAAUGCAAGGGCACCAGUCAUGACCCCUGGCACUGGAGAAUUGACUGCCCAUGUUCCCACUGAGGGGCUCAGUCAGUCAAAACUCUAGCAGUGCAAAAGGAGGAAUUAGAUGAAGACUGAAGGGGCCUGAGGUCUUCCUCACUGCCCCUGUUCAGGAACAUUGUAAUUACUACUGAGGAGCCCCAGGUAACUCUGGACGUCAUGGGCACCCAAAUUCAGUUUCUUUUUGAUGCAGGAGCAAAUUACUCUGUUCUUACUGCUUAUGCAGUAAGGCGUUCCUCCCAGUCCACAAGUGUUAUGGGAAUAGAAUGGAAGCCACAAACGAGUUUUUAUUUUAUUUUAUUUUAUUUUAUUUUACUUUAAGUUCUGGGAUACAUAUGCAGAAUGUGCAGGUUUGUUACAUAGGUAUACAUGUGCCAUGGUGGUUUGCUGCACCUAUCGACCCAUCAUCUAGGUUUUAAGUCCCACAUGGAUUAGGUAUUUGUCCUAAUGCUCUUCCUCCCCUUGCCCCCAACCCCCCAACAGGCCUUGGUGUGUGAUGUUCCCCUCCCUGUGUCCAUGUGUUCUCAUUGUUCACCUCCCACUUAUUAGUGAGAACAUGCGGUGUUUGGUUUUCUGUUCCUGUGUUAGUUUGCUGAGAAUGAUGGUUUCCAGCUUCAUCCAUGUUCCUGCAAAGGACAUGAACUCAUUCUUUUUUAUGGUUGCGUAGUAUUCCAUGGUGUAUAUGUGCCAUAUUUUCUUUAUCCCGUCUAUCACUGAUGGGCAUUUGGGUUGGUUCCAAGUCUUUGCCAUGGUAAAUAGUGUUGCAGUAAACAUACAUGUGCAUGUAUCUUUAUAAUAGAAUGAUUUAUAAUCCUUUGGGUAUAUAUCCAGUAAUGGGAUUGCUGGGUCAAAUGGUAUUUCUGGUUCUAGAUCCCUGAGGAAUCACCACACUGUCUUCCACAAUGGUUGAACUAAUUUACACUCCCACCAACAGUGUAAAAAUGUUCCUACUUCUCCACAGCCUCACCAGCCUGUUUCCUGACUUUUUAAUGAUCACCAUUCUAACUGGUGUGAGAUGGUAUCUCACUGUGAUUUUGAUUUGCAUUUCUCUAACAACAAGUGAUGAGCAUUUUUUCAUAUGUUUGUUGGCUGCAUAAAUGUCUUCUUUUGAGAAGUGUCUGUUCAUAUCCUUUGCCUACUUUUUGAUGGGGUUGACAAACAAGAUUCAUUACUCCUCCUUUGAUUUGUCAAUUUGAGAAACAACUCUUCCAACAGGAUUUCCUAGUAGUACCAAGCUGCCCAAUCCCCCUGUUGGGAAGAGAUAUUAUGGUUAAAAUGGAGGCACUACUACAAUUUAAGCAUCACCCAUUGAAAUUGCUGAUAGUCAAAAAUACAGUGUUCCAGACCACAUUAAUAAAUAGGUUAACCCGCUGGCAUUGGUAUACUGGAAAACCAGGGAAGGCUAAAACAGCAGUGCCAGUCAAAAUACAUUUUAAAGACCUCAGCUAGUUUCCCAAUUGAAAAUAAUAUCCAAUUAAGCAGGAAGCAAGAAAAGGCCUAGCACCCAUAAUUGAGGUAUUACUUAUUACAUGGGCUCUUAAAAUCCUGUAAUUCCCCUUGCAAUACCUGUUCUAAAGCCUUUGGGGGAAUACCAGUUAGUAUAGGACUGGAGAAUACCGGUUAGUAUAGGACCUGAGAAUAAUUAAUGAGGCUGUUAUCCCCGUCCACCCACUGGUGGCAGAUCCAUAUACCCUUAUGGCUCAGGUACAAGGGGAUGCAAAAUGGUUCUCAGUCCUGGACCUAAAAGAUGCUUUCUUCUCCAUCCCUCUGGCCCCAGAGUCCCAAUACCUUUUUGCCUUUGAAUGGGAAAAUCAAUAUGAGGGAAAAACAGUAAUAUACCUGGACAGUGCACCCUUAGGGCAUUCAGGAUAGCCCCCAUUGGAUUGCCCGAGCCUUAGAGAGGGAUCUGAAGGAUCUGAAAGUGAAAAAUGGGAAUAUACUCCAGUAUGUGGAUGACUUUCUUGUGUGUAGCCCAAACCCAGGAGGUUUCUGACCAAACUACUAUAAAAACUUUGAAUUUCCUGGCAGACAGGGGAUACAAAGUGUCCGACAAGAAGGCACAGAUUAUCCUCCAAUGGGUGCAAUAUUUAGGGUAUGUCUUAACACCCAGAGCCUGACAAAUAUCCCCAGAACGAGAGCAAGCCAUAGGUGGUUUGCCCCCUGCCCCCUCCCCAACCCCCCCACCUGCCACACCUAGUAGCAGCUUUGUUCUUUUUUGGGAAUGGCCAGGUUUUGCAGAAUAUGGGUACCAAAUUUCAGACUCAUAGCAAAGCCCCUAUAUGAAGCAACAAAGGGGCCUGAAGACGAGCUAAAGGAAUGAACCCCAGAAUUGAGAAAAGCCUUUGCCAAGUUAAAACAGGCUCUCGCUCUUGGCAUCCCAGACCUACCUAAGCCCUUCUCUUUGUACGUAGCAGAGAAGAAGGGCAUAGCUGUGGGUGUACUAGCCCAGACAUUAGGAUCAGAACCCAGACUAACCACUGACUUUCCAAAGAAGUUGGAUGGAGUGGCCUCGAGGUGACCAAGUUGCCUGCGGCCAACAGCAGCCACUGCUAUGUUAGUGGAGGAAGCCACUGAAAUCGCUCUGAGCCAACCACUGGAAGUUCUCACCCCCUCAUCAGGUUAAGUCUGUCUUAGAGAUAAAGGGACACAUCUGGAUGACAGGGGAAAGAUGAACCAAAUACCAGGCCAUGUUCCUAGACAAUCCAGAUGUAACCCUUAAAACCUGCAACACUUUGAAUCCAGCUUCAGUGCUGCCCACAGGCCCAAUAACUGAUCAUUCCUGCAAGCAGGUCAUUGCACAUACACAAUGUUAGCCAGCCUGCUUUAAAAGACAAGCCUCUCCCAGAUUCUGAGGAUGAGUGGUUCACAGAUGGCAGUAGUUUUGUGUCAAAUGGGGUUUGACACAGCACUGAGCUGGAUAUGCAGUAGUAAUUAUCGAAGCCCAGCCACUGCUCCUUGGCACAUCAGCACAAAAGGCUGAAAUCAUUGCUCUUACUUGAGCAUUAAUGUUGGUACAAGGAAAAAAGCUUAACAUCUAUAUCGAUUCUAAAUAUGCAUUCCUUGUGGUUCAUGUUCAUGCUACAGUCUGGAAAGAAAAGGGAUUUCUAACUAGAAAACAGUCCUCUAUAAAGCCUGGGCCUGAAAUUCUUCAGCUAUUGGAAGCAAUACACUUGCCAAAGGCCGUAGCUCUAAUUAAUUGUUGGGGUAUCAAAGGGACUUAACCCCUAUAGCACAAGGGAACAGAAAGGCUGAUAAAGAACCAAAGCCGCAUCCCUCAGGGUGCCAUCCCAACAGACCCUAGCCCUACUUCCUUUCUAUGAUUUCCCAACAGAACCUGAGUACACAGUACAGAAAGAACAGUUAAUAGAGGAACAAGGGGGACACAAAAAAAGGAUCCUGGUGGCAUAUGGGGUCAAAAACAUAUCUCCCUCAGACAGCCCAGUGGAAAGUUAUAAAAGCCGUGCAUGCCUCUUUCCAUGUGGGGAGGGAUGCAACUCUGGCCAUUUAAACCAGCUCUUUACUGGGUCUAACUUAGCUUCAGUGGCUAAGCAGGUUUGCUAGGCCUGCUCCCUGUGUGCACUUAACAACCUAGGAAACAACAUGCCUCCUCUAAUAGAACCAGUGCAGAGGAGAGGAACUUAUCCAGGGGGAGACUGGCAAUUAGACUUCACCCAUAUGCCAGCUUGCAGAGGACAUGAGUUUUUGUUAGUACUAAUAGAUAUCUUUACUGGUUGGGUCGAAGUUUAUCCUACCAGAACAGAGAAGGUUAAUGAGGCUAUAAAGGUUCUCUUAAAAGAAAUAAUCCCCGGGUUUGGGUUACCUCAGAGCCUCCAAAUUGAUAAUGGCCCGUCCUUUAUCUCCCAGCUAACUCAAGGGGUUGCUAAGUCUCCUGGAAUCAAGUACUAUCUACAUUCAGCAUGAAGGCCUCGAUCCUUGGGGAAAGUAGAAAGGGCUAACCAAACUUUAAAACGAGUGUUAGCUAAGCUAUGUAAGGAAACAUCAGAAACUUGGGUCAGCUUACUGCCCAUAGCCCUCUUAAGGACCCAUAAUACCCCUACAGCAAAAAUUAAUAUAAACCCAUAUGAAAUAUUAUGUGGAAGGCCAUUCUUAACUAAUGAUUUAAUUACUGAUCCAGAAACAGUUGGUUUAGUAAAAUACCUAGUCAAUCUAGGACAGUUUCAACAGGCUUUACAAACGUUUGGAAUGCAAAGUCUCCCCACACUGGGAACAAUCAGCAACUUAAAAUCAGGUCAGGAAAUAAGGUACUUCUUAAAACAUGGAAAGAGGGAUCACCUGCUCAACAAUUACAACCCAAACGGAAGGGACUGUUUUCAGUGGCACUGGCCAUGCCUUCUGCAGUGAAAGUACUAGGAUUAGAUAGCUGGAUACAUCUUUCAAGGAUCAAGAGAGUGAUACCAGAAGCCCUGGACCAGGAACCCGAAGUUGCCAUCUGCCUCUACACCUGUGAACCUGUGGAAGACUUCAUGAAGUACCUGUUUAGAAGACAGUCAAAAGAAAAGUAAAUGCCUACCAAUUUUCCUUGGUGUCUUUGUUGCAUAGUUACUAUAGGCUGGAUAAUAGUGCCAUUUUUAAAAAUGUUUUAUUUUUGCAGUUUCAUUGCCUUCUUCCAAAUGGAUGGAAUCACUUCCUUUGUAGUAAUUAAGCAGAAUGUUUUAAUACAUUUCUAUAACAAACAUUCCUGACGGCAUAGGUAUCCACCCCCAAAGUUCCCAUUAAAUCUUUUAACCAAAUUCAUUUCCUGUUGCACAGAGACCAUCAAGCUUCAGAUGAUCAUGUGACAGGGUUUCCAGCCAGUUCCAGGUGAAGACACCACCCCUGGCCAUCAAGAAGUCACCCGGUCUCCACUAGACAGAGUAGGGUGAGAGUUCCGUGAUCUCCAACCGGUAGUGAUUAUGCCCCAAGUCAGCAUAAAGAAGUUACGGAAGAAAAACCAUCAGUCCCUCUGUCUCACAUAAAGACUUAUGGGGAUCACGUUUCUCAGAGGGGAGAUGAGGCAGGAGAAUAGGGUCUGGAGGCAGGGAACCUAAGGCCGUUUCACACUGACUUCUUAGAACUAAAUUGAAAGGAAAACCCUAAUUUUCCAUGCCUAAGUAACAAAAGGACCAGAGGCUACUCCCUUUGCAAACCCCCACCUUUUCUGUGUGGCAUAUGGGAAAUUGAAAGUACCUCUGAUUGAUUGUUUUCUGCAACCAAUCAGAUGUUUGCAUUGGAGUGUAACUUUGUAAUUUCACUUCAGUCUCUGAUUGGUUGCUGCAGUCUGGAAAUUCUGCAGGCCAAGUCUUCGUUUGCAUAGAAGUGCAACUUUGUAACUUCAUCUUAGCCUCUGAUUGGUUGCUUUCUGCAACCAAUCAGAUGUUUGCAUAGGCGUGUGACCUUUGUAACUUCACUUCAGCUUCUGAUUGGUUGCUUUCCACAACCAAUCAGACUGAUUGUGGGCCACCACUUCCUUUACGUGAGGUGAACACCAAGUGGCCAAUGGAAAACCUCAAGAGGGUAUUUGGACCUGAGAAGAUUCUGUAUCUGGGGCCCUUGAGCUGCUGCUCUGCCCACUCUCACAUGGUGGAGUGUAAUUUCACUUUGAAUAAAUCUCUGCUUUUGUUGCUUCAUUCUUUCCUUGCUUUGCUGUGUAUUUUGUCCAAUUCUUUGUUCAAAACGCCAAGAACCUGGACAACUUGCAGUCAAGACCCUCUACCAGUAACACUAGUUGUAUCCCUGUAAAUGAAUGGGCUUUGAAGAUUUUCUAGAAGAAAAAGAUCACCUCAUUGUCCUUCAUUUUUUGACAUAAAACUGUGAUAGCCCAAUAGAUAAAAUGUGAGUUAUCGAUCACCCCUGGAAAGGAUUAGGAUAUGCCACUCCAAAAUAUGCCACGUUUAUUUUGCACUGAAGGCAAUUGAGAAACAGUAGACACAGGAAGAGCUCUCUGCUUUUCCCCUUUUUACCUAAAAGCAGAGAAUAAAUUUCCUUUUGGAAAGAUGACAUACAUUUUCCUUUAUAAAGGUGUUCCCUUCUCCUCUACCAGGAAGAUCUGAGAUGGCACCAAAAUGAAUCUGCCUAACAAACCUUACUGCACAAUUCUUAGCUACCAUACAUUUCAUAGUCACCUUCCCAUAAUUUACUGCCCUUAGGAGCCCAAGUCCCUUUCCUUUGACUAUCACCUCUCCACAAUUUAUUGCCCUUUGUUAAAAUGAUAUAUAAGCUCCUUCAUUUAACUACAUCUUUGGGUUUUCACUUCUUAUCUUUGAUGCUACGAUGCAUGUAAAAAUAUUAAUAAAAUUUGUGUGCUUUUUCUCCUGUUAAUUGUAUGUCUUUUAUCAACUUAAAUUACAGGCCCCAAGUACAUAAUUAAGAGAGUAAAAGGCUGGGCACGGUGGCUGAUGCCUGUAGUCCCAGCACUUUGGGAGGCCAAGGCAGGCAGAUCACAAGGUCAGGAGAUCGAGACCAUCCUGGCUAACAUGGUGAAACCCCGUCUCUACUAAAAAAUAAAAAAAAAUUUAGCCAGGCGUGGUGGCGGGCGCCGGUAGUCUCAGCUACUCGGGAGGCUGAGGCAGGAGAAUGGCGUGAACUCGGGAGGCAGAGCUUGCAGUGAGCGGAGAUCUUGCCACUGCACUCCAGCCUGGGCAACAGAGCAAGGCUCCAUCUCAAAAAAAAAAAAAAAAAAGAGAGAGAGAGAGUAAAAGUUUUUCCUCUCCUACACCUCCUUCCCUGUUAGUCUAAAUACUAUAGCUUGGACAUAAAACUUAUCCUGAACAGUAGGCUUAUAAAUGCAACUAGCGGCCGGAUACAGUGGCUCACACCUGUAAUCCUAGCACUUUGGGAGGCCGAGGCGGGUGGAUCACCUGAGGUCAGGAGUUCAAGACCAGCCUGGCCAACAUGGAGAAACCCUGUCUCUACUAAAAAUACAAAAAUUAGCUGGGCAUGGUGGCACACAUGUGUAAUCCCAGCUACUCAGGAGGCUGAGACUGGAGAAUUGCUUGAACCCAGGAGGCAGAGGUUGCAGUAAGCCAAGAUCACUCCACUGCACUUCAGCCCGGGCAUCAGAGCAAGACUCCAACUCAAAAAUAAAUAAAAUAAAAUAAUUAAAUAAAUGCAACUCAUGGUAGAUUGGAGCCGAGGUAUGAAAAACGUUAAGCUUUAGGAUAAAUAAUGGUUCUCAGGACAUAACUUAGCUAACAUACAAGCUAUUUAUAAGCUAACAUAGAAGUUGCAACCAGAAGGGGGAUUCUUUUGGCCAGCAGAACCUGGAAAAAUGAAAGCCACAGAGGCAAAUACUAAAGUAUCACUCAGGAAAGACAAGAGUGUAGCUCUGUGACAUAGAUGGAUAUAUUCUAAUCAUAAAACUAAUUUUACUUCUUCCAAAUUUAUGCCCACAAACCAACUUUCUGCUUUUUUCUUGUCUCGUAUGCAUUUUUUAACUUAAUAAUCUUUAAACACUUUUAUAAGAGUUUUUAUAUUCUGCAUAGAAACACUUUGUUAGCUAUAUGAAUUGCAAAUAUUGCUUUAUCAAAAGAUUCCUAGAGUCAUGAAAGAAAGCAAACAAAGUGCUAAUAUUGUGGUUCAUUGCUUCACUUAUAAGAUAAAAUGCAUACCAUUUAUCAAUCUAUAAACAAUGUCUCAAUUUGAGGUUGAAUGUUAGAGUUUACCCGGUAAUCUAGUAUUUCUCUAGAAAUGUCAAAAAAAAGGGCAAAAUUAUAUAGUACAGAGGAGUGAGUGGCUGGAGGUUGUCUAGACAAGGUACCCACUGGAUGCCAUUAUCUUGGUGAAAAAGAGAAAGAGAAAAGCAGUCACUGACAUGAGGAGUUGGCCUGGUUCUUACAGAUAGGACUUGGCAUUCUCCUGUCAAAUAUAAGCAAUUUCACAGAACAUGAACAUUAGACAACGCCGUGUUGUGAUGUUGAUGUAGCAAGACGAAAACACUGUAACCCUCUGUAAUCAUGUCUCAACAAUCCACUACAACCCGAAUGUGGUCCAAACCACAAAAUAACCAAACAUCCUCUGUCUUGCCUAAGAGUAGUGACUGCUGCCUCUUUAGCAAUCACAACUUAAGCCUCAGACUAGUCUGCCCUCCUUCUAGAUAAGAGUUAUUAGAUAUCUAAUUUUAAGAAUUACCCCCUGCUUCCUGACAGCAUUUGAUCCAGAGCAAAGCUCCACCUCUUUAAAACGCUCCCCAAACCACAAAACACAAGCUCAAUUCUUAUAAAUUUCUUUCCAAUCCCCUCUUACUGAGAUGUCCCAUCGUUCCUCAUAGUGUGCGUUCUCCCUUGCUGCAACAAGGAAAUAAACCCAACUAUAGUUGUGUUCCUGGUGGUCUUUAGCUGAAGAGCAUUGACACUGCAGAAUCCAGGAGAAUCCAGGACAAUUCAAGAGCUGGAGACAGCUUACUUGUCAGGACACUAAAAAUAGACCUAUCUCUCAAGGGUGAAUUUGUAUUAGCCACAGACACAGAAACUGAUGGAUAAGUAACAUUACUAAUUUGUUAAUUAAUAAAAAUGAAAUAAAGCCCUGGAAGAGUCAGAAAAGACAAAUGUAUAGAGUGAGAAAGUAGAUGAAUGGUUUCCUGAAGGUGGGUGUGGAAAGGGGAAUUAAAUGUUAAAGGGCAUGAGUGGUCUUAUUGGGGU
RNAcentral lists this long non-coding RNA (16112 nucleotides) under Homo sapiens (human). RNAcentral describes it as "non-protein coding lnc-GPR183-47:9". Lineage: Eukaryota; Metazoa; Chordata; Mammalia; Primates; Hominidae. The record is from RNAcentral.